This is a non-coding RNA of Ictidomys tridecemlineatus (thirteen-lined ground squirrel), 1693 nucleotides long. NCBI's taxonomy places the organism in Eukaryota, Metazoa, Chordata, Mammalia, Rodentia, Sciuridae. The record is from RefSeq and is a predicted model, not a curated record.
UGUAGUGAAUGUUUCCCUAGUGUAAGAUUUUAGAAGUUUUGUGAUAGUUUUUCUCCAGUUUUAAUUGUUUCUUAGAAGGGAGAUUUUGAAAAAGGGCUGAUCAUUUUUUAAGUACAAAAUGUCAAGCUUUUUUUAACAUGAAGACAAGUAGAGAGGUGAAAUUAAAUACAUGUAAGUCAUUAUUCCACCACUGACAAAUUGUAAACUUGCUGGUGUUUUCCUUUCCUAUGCAAGAAUUAAAACCCAGGAAUAUACUGUAUGAGUUUUGUGCACACAUGUUUUCACCUAACCUUAGAUCAUAAACAUUUCCAUGUCAUUAAAAUUUCCCCCAAAACAAUAGUGACAGAGAAACCUUGCUACAGGAAUAGAGGAGAGGCAACAAGACCAUUGGUCUAGAGUCUGCGAUCUGAGUGUCUUGGCAAUGACAAUUUGCUGAGAGUCAUUGACCCAGGCAGGGUGUUAACCCCUCUGCCUCUGAGAGAGCAGACAGGAGCUCAUAAUUCUGAGUCUUGGCUUGCAUUCUUCCUGGAUUAUGACACUGUCAUCAUAUUUGAUAGAGAUGUCACUUAAGAAGUGAUAACCUGUUCAUGAGAAGUGACACUCGGAAAGGAACUGUUUUAGCUAAAGAAACAAUGAGAAAAUAAUAGAAACAAUGAGAUGCUGUGUCAAUAAUCUCUAGUUAAGUUUGGAAAAGAGAUUUUAGAAAGAGAAUUUUUAGUUCUUACACAUAUUUAAAAUUGGACUAGACUUUGGGACUCAUACUAUUCUUGUAGUCAUGACUUUAUUUUAUGGACUCUACCCUUCCUCCGUCCCAUGACCAACCAAACUUUCUUGUAUUUUGGAAUGAAGUCUAACUUAAUUAAUUAUAUGUUUUUGGUGAACAGUCCCUGAUCUUUCCUUAUUUCUAGAGUUGAAUUUUGGAUUUGUUCUCAUUCAGUGGUUUCCUAGGAGGAAGUCUCAUGGAUUAAGACAGACCGAAGCCUUGAAGCUGAGUGUGAGUUCUGUCCUGACUCAGCCAUUCCCCUCUGGGUGACCUUGGACAGUUACUGAGCUCUCCAAGCCCAGGUUUCCUAGUGCAACAGCAAGAAUGACUGUAAAGCUCUUUAUCUUCCUGCUACCUCCCAGAUUAUUUUGAACAUAAAACAAAGUGAUAUAAAUGAAAGGACUUAAAGCACCAGUGUGUACUUGUCAGGGUGAUGUGGGAAACCUGAGCAUCUGGUGUCUGUUUAGGGAAUUCCUUUCCUGAGAGAACCACUCCAGAGCAGGCAGUUGUUUCUAGACAAGGUUGACUCCCAAAUUUUACUUUGUUUGCCUUAAUUCACAUGCUAGGUAGCUACUCAUACUUCAGGGCCUAUUGCCCCUGCCAGUUUCCAUCCUCAGCAAUUCCAGUAUACUUUGGAAAAUAAUGUGCUAAGCCUGGAACAGAGAAAAUUUUAUGAAGAAAAUGGAUUUCUUGUUAUUAAAAAUCUAGUAUCUGAUGCUGAUAUUCAACGCUUCAGGGUUGAAUUUGAAAAAAUCUGCAAAAAGGAGUCGAAAGCAGCAGGACUAUUGGUCAUGAGAUGUGUCCCUUGAAAAAUCAGGAUACAUUCCAAGUGAGAAACCAAUCUUGAAGGUCCAGAAUUUCCAUGAAGAUAAGGAGCUCUUCAGAUACUGCACUCUCCCAGAGGCUAGAGACUGCUCUUGUUUUGGUUUC